This 509-nucleotide ribosomal RNA is filed under the name uncultured bacterium. RNAcentral's name for it is "bacterial SSU rRNA". It matches the Rfam family "Bacterial small subunit ribosomal RNA", at positions 15 to 518 of the family's 1533-position model. The record is from RNAcentral.
GAUCAUGGCUCAGGAUGAACGCUAGCUACAGGCUUAACACAUGCAAGUCGAGGGGCAGCAUGACCUAGCAAUAGGUGAUGGCGACCGGCGCACGGGUGAGUAACACGUAUCCAACCUACCGGUUAUUCCGGGAUAGCCUUUCGAAAGAAAGAUUAAUACCGGAUAGUAUAGCGAGAAGGCAUCUUCUUGUUAUUAAAGAAUUUCGAUAACCGAUGGGGAUGCGUUCCAUUAGUUUGUUGGCGGGGUAACGGCCCACCAAGACAUCGAUGGAUAGGGGUUCUGAGAGGAAGGUCCCCCCACAUUGGAACUGAGACACGGUCCAAACUCCUACGGGAGGCAGCAGUGAGGAAUAUUGGUCAAUGGACGAGAGUCUGAACCAGCCAAGUAGCGUGAAGGAUGACUGCCCUAUGGGUUGUAAACUUCUUUUAUAUGGGAAUAAAGUGAGCCACGUGUGGCUUUUUGUAUGUACCAUACGAAUAAGGAUCGGCUAACUCCGUGCCAGCAGCCGC